RNAcentral lists this ribosomal RNA (465 nucleotides) under Vreelandella stevensii. RNAcentral describes it as "partial 16S ribosomal RNA". It matches the Rfam family "Bacterial small subunit ribosomal RNA", at positions 338 to 795 of the family's 1533-position model. The record is from RNAcentral. Lineage: Bacteria; Pseudomonadati; Pseudomonadota; Gammaproteobacteria; Oceanospirillales; Halomonadaceae.
CCUACGGGUGGCUGCAGUGGGGAAUAUUGGACAAUGGGCGAAAGCCUGAUCCAGCCAUGCCGCGUGUGUGAAGAAGGCCUUCGGGUUGUAAAGCACUUUCAGUGGGGAAGAAAGCCUUGGGGCUAAUACCCUCGAGGAAGGACAUCACCCACAGAAGAAGCACCGGCUAACUCCGUGCCAGCAGCCGCGGUAAUACGGAGGGUGCGAGCGUUAAUCGGAAUUACUGGGCGUAAAGCGCGCGUAGGCGGUCUGAUAAGCCGGUUGUGAAAGCCCCGGGCUCAACCUGGGAACGGCAGCCGGAACUGUCAGGCUAGAGUGCAGGAGAGGAAGGGAGAAUUCCCGGUGUAGCGGUGAAAUGCGUAGAGAUCGGGAGGAAGACCAGUGGCGAAGGCGGCCUUCUGGACUGACACUGACGCUGAGGUGCGAAAGCGUGGGUAGCAAACAGGAUUAGAUACCCCUGUAGUC